This 623-nucleotide ribosomal RNA is filed under the name uncultured Haloferax sp. RNAcentral describes it as "bacterial SSU rRNA". It matches the Rfam family "Archaeal small subunit ribosomal RNA", at positions 148 to 770 of the family's 1478-position model. Lineage: Archaea; Methanobacteriati; Methanobacteriota; Halobacteria; Halobacteriales; Haloferacaceae. The record is from RNAcentral.
AAUUCCGAAUACGAUUCCCACGCUGGAACGCCGGGAAUCGGAAACGUUCAGGCGCCGUAGGAUGUGGCUGCGGCCGAUUAGGUAGACGGUGGGGUAACGGCCCACCGUGCCGAUAAUCGGUACGGGUUGUGAGAGCAAGAACCCGGAGACGGAAUCUGAGACAAGAUUCCGGGCCCUACGGGGCGCAGCAGGCGCGAAACCUUUACACUGCACGACAGUGCGAUAAGGGGACCCCGAGUGCGAGGGCAUACAGUCCUCGCUUUUCUGAACGGUAAGGCCGUUCAGGAACAAGAGCUGGGCAAGACCGGUGCUAGCCGCCGCGGUAAUACCGGCAGCUCGAGUGAUGACCGAUCUUAUUGGGCCUAAAGCGUCCGUAGCCGGCCGGGCAAGUCCGUCGGGAAAUCCACCAGCUCAACUGGUGGGCGCCCGGCGGAAACUGCUCGGCUUGGGACAGGAAGACCCGAGGGGUACGUCCGGGGUAGGAGUGAAAUCCCGUAAUCCUGGACGGACCGCCGAUGGCGAAAGCACCUCGGGAGGACUGAUCCGACGGUGAGGGACGAAAGCUGGGGUCUCGAACCGGAUUAGAUACCCGGGUAGUCCCAGCUGUAAACGAUGUCUGCUAG